This 661-nucleotide ribosomal RNA is filed under the name Salmonella enterica. RNAcentral's name for it is "partial 23S ribosomal RNA". It matches the Rfam family "Bacterial large subunit ribosomal RNA", at positions 2261 to 2916 of the family's 2925-position model. The record is from RNAcentral. RNAcentral also lists the same sequence under 2 other names. Lineage: Bacteria; Pseudomonadati; Pseudomonadota; Gammaproteobacteria; Enterobacterales; Enterobacteriaceae.
GUGGGUAGUUUGACUGGGGCGGUCUCCUCCUAAAGAGUAACGGAGGAGCACGAAGGUUGGCUAAUCCUGGUCGGACAUCAGGAGGUUAGUGCAAUGGCAUAAGCCAGCUUGACUGCGAGCGUGACGGCGCGAGCAGGUGCGAAAGCAGGUCAUAGUGAUCCGGUGGUUCUGAAUGGAAGGGCCAUCGCUCAACGGAUAAAAGGUACUCCGGGGAUAACAGGCUGAUACCGCCCAAGAGUUCAUAUCGACGGCGGUGUUUGGCACCUCGAUGUCGGCUCAUCACAUCCUGGGGCUGAAGUAGGUCCCAAGGGUAUGGCUGUUCGCCAUUUAAAGUGGUACGCGAGCUGGGUUUAGAACGUCGUGAGACAGUUCGGUCCCUAUCUGCCGUGGGCGCUGGAGAACUGAGGGGGGCUGCUCCUAGUACGAGAGGACCGGAGUGGACGCAUCACUGGUGUUCGGGUUGUCAUGCCAAUGGCACUGCCCGGUAGCUAAAUGCGGAAGAGAUAAGUGCUGAAAGCAUCUAAGCACGAAACUUGCCCCGAGAUGAGUUCUCCCUGAGACUUAAAGUCUCCUGAAGGAACGUUGAAGACGACGACGUUGAUAGGCCGGGUGUGUAAGCGCAGCGAUGCGUUGAGCUAACCGGUACUAAUGAACCGUGAGG